This 2597-nucleotide long non-coding RNA is filed under the name Homo sapiens (human). RNAcentral describes it as "HSALNT0308345". Lineage: Eukaryota; Metazoa; Chordata; Mammalia; Primates; Hominidae. The record is from RNAcentral.
CCCCUCUCCCUCUCCCUCUCCCCGUCUCCCUCUCCCUCUCCCUCUCCCCGUCUCCCUCUCCCUCUCAUGCCGAGCCAAAGCUGGACGGUACUGCUGCCAUCUCGGCUCACUGCAACCUCCCUGCCUGAUUCUCCUGCCUCAGCCUGCCGAGUGCCUGCGAUUGCAGGCGCGCGCCGCCACGCCUGACUGGUUUUCGUUUUUUUUUUGGUGGAGAUGGGGUUUCGCUGUGUUGGCCGGGCUGGUCUCCAGCUCCUAACCGCGAGUGAUCCGCCAGCCUCGGCCUCCCGAGGUGCCGGGAUUGCAGAUGGAGUCUCGUUCACUCAGUGCUCAAUGGUGCCCAGGCUGGAGUGCAGUGGCGUGAUCUCGGCUUGCUACAACCACCUCCCAGCCGCCUGCCUUGGCCUCCCAAAGAGCCGAGAUUGCAGCCUCUGCCCGGCCGCCACGCCGUCUGGGAAGUGAGGAGCGUCUCUGCUUGGCCACCCAUCGUCUGGGAUAUGAGGAGCCCCUCUGCCUGGCUGCCCAGUGUGGAAAGUGAGGAGCGUCUCUGCCCGGCCGCCAUCCCAUCUAGGAAGCGAGAAGCGCCUCUUCCCCGCCGCCAUCCCAUCUAGGAAGUGAGGAGCGUCUCUGCCCGGCCGCCCAUCGUCUGAGAUGUGGGGAGCACCUCUGCCCCACCGCCCUGUCUGGGAUGUGAGGAGCGCCUCUGCUGGGCCGCAACCCUGUCUGGGAGGUGAGGAGUGUCUCUGCCCGGCCGCUCCGUCUGAGAAGUGAGGAAACCCUCUGCCUGGCAACCGCCCCGUCUGAGAAGUGAGGAGCCCCUCCGUCUGGCAACCACCCCGUCUGGGAAGUGAGGAGCGUCUCCGCCCGGCAGCCACCCCGUCCGGGAGGGAGGUGGGGGGGGUCAGCCCCCCGCCCGGCCAGCCGCCCCGUCCGGGAGGUGAGGGGCUCCUCUGCCCGGCCGCCCCUACUGGGAAGUGAGGAGCCCCUCUGCCCGGCCAGCCGCCCCGUCCGGGAGGGAGGCGGGGGGGGGUGGUCGGCCAUCCGCCCCGUCCGGGAGGUGAGGGGCUCCUCUGCCCGGCCGCCCCUACUGGGAAGUGAGGAGCCCCUCUGCCCGGCCAGUCGCCCCGUCCAGGAGGGAGGUGGGGGGGUCAACCCCCCGCCCGGCCAGCCGCCCAGUCCGGGAGGGAGGUGGGGGGUCAGCCCCCCGCCUGGCCAGCCGCCCCGUCCGGGAGGUGAGGGGCGCCUCUGCCCGGCCGCCCCUACUGGGAAGUGAGGAGCCCCUCUGCCCGGCCAGUCGCCCCGUCCAGGAGGGAGGUGGGGGUUCAACCCCCCGCCCGGCCAGCCGCCCAGUCCGGGAGGGAGGUGGGGGGUCAGCCCCCCGCCUGGCCAGCCGCCCCGUCCAGGAGGUGAGGGGCGCCUCUGCCCGGCCGCCCCUACUGGGAAGUGAGGAGCCCCUCUGCCCGGCCAGCCGCCCCGCCCAGGAGGGAGGUGGGGGGGUCAGCCCCCCGCCCGGCCAGCCGCCCCGUCCGGGAGGGGGGAGGGGGGGUCAGCCCCCUGCCCGGCCAGCCGCCCCGUCCGGGAGGGAGGUGGGGGGGGUCAGCCCCCCGCCCGGCCAGCCGCCCCGUCCGGGAGGGAGGUGGGGGGAUCAGCCCCCUGCCUGGCCAGCCGCCCCGUCCGGGAGGUGAGGGGCGCCUCUGCCCGGCCGCCCCUACUGGGAAGUGAGGAGCCCCUCUGCCCGGCCAGCCGCCCCGUCCGGGAGGGAGGUGGGGGGGUCAGCCCCCCUUCCGGCCGGCUGCCCCGUCCGGGAGGUGAGGGGCGCCUCUGCCGGGCCGCCCCUACUGGGAAGUGAGGACCCCUCUGCCCGGCCAGCCGCCCCAUCCGGGAGGGAGGUGGGGGGAACAGCCCCCCGCCCGGCCAGCCGCCCUAUCCAGGAGGUGAGGGGCGCCUCUGCCCGGCCGCCCCUACUGGGAAGUGAGGAGCCCCUCUGCCUGGCCAGCCGCCCCGUCCGGGAGGGCGGUGGGGGGGUCAGCCCCCCGCCCGGCCAGCCGCCCCAUCUGGGAGGUGAGGGGCGCUUCUGCCGGGCCGCCCCUACUGGGAAGUGAGGAGCCCCUCUGCCCGGCCACGACCCCGUCUGGGAGGUGUGCCCAGCGGCUCAUUGGGGAUGGGCCAUGAUGACAAUGGCGGUUUUGUGGAAUAGAAAGGCGGGAAGGGUGGGGAAAAAAUUGAGAAAUCGGAUGGUUGCCGGGUCUGUGUGGAUAGAAGUAGACAUGGGAGACUUUUCAUUUUGUUCUGUACUAAGAAAAAUUCUUCUGCCUUGGGAUCCUGUUGAUCUGUGACCUUAUCCCCAACCCUGUGCUCUCUGAAACAUGUGCUGUGUCCACUCAGGGUUAAAUGGAUUAAGGGCGGUGCAAGAUGUGCUUUGUUAAACAGAUGCUUGAAGGCAGCAUGCUCGUUAAGAGUCAUCACCACUCCCUAAUCUUAAGUACCCAGGGACACAAACACUGCGGAAGGCCGCAGGGUCCUCUGCCUAGGAAAACCAGAGACCUUUGUUCACUUGUUUAUCUGCUGACCUUCCCUCCACUAUUGUCCUGUGACCCUGC